RNAcentral lists this ribosomal RNA (572 nucleotides) under uncultured bacterium. RNAcentral describes it as "partial 16S ribosomal RNA". It matches the Rfam family "Bacterial small subunit ribosomal RNA", at positions 355 to 919 of the family's 1533-position model. The record is from RNAcentral.
UGGGGAAUUUUGGACAAUGGGCGAAAGCCUGAUCCAGCAAUGCCGCGUGUGUGAAGAAGGCCUUCGGGUUGUAAAGCACUUUUGUCCGGAAAGAAAUCCUUGGCUCUAAUACAGUCGGGGGAUGACGGUACCGGAAGAAUAAGCACCGGCUAACUACGUGCCAGCAGCCGCGGUAAUACGUAGGGUGCAAGCGUUAAUCGGAAUUACUGGGCGUAAAGCGUGCGCAGGCGGUUUGCUAAGACCGAUGUGAAAUCCCCGGGCUCAACCUGGGAACUGCAUUGGUGACUGGCAGGCUAGAGUAUGGCAGAGGGGGGUUAGAAUUCCACGUGUAGCAGUGAAAUGCGUAGAGAUGUGGAGGAAUACCGAUGGCGAAGGCAGCCCCCUGGGCCAAUACUGACGCUCAUGCACGAAAGCGUGGGGAGCAAACAGGAUUAGAUACCCUGGUAGUCCACGCCCUAAACGAUGUCAACUAGUUGUUGGGGAUUCAUUUCCUUAGUAACGUAGCUAACGCGUGAAGUUGACCGCCUGGGGAGUACGGUCGCAAGAUUAAAACUCAAAGGAAUUGACGGGGU